Molecule: long non-coding RNA, 4402 nt
Organism: Dromaius novaehollandiae (emu)
Lineage: Eukaryota; Metazoa; Chordata; Aves; Casuariiformes; Dromaiidae
Exons: 5
Source: RefSeq, a predicted model, not a curated record
CCAGCUGGUUGUACACUGAGCGUACCCUCCUCUCAGGGUUAGUAUAGGUUAUGCUGGAUUUAGAUUGUAUUUGCUAACUGAAGGUGCUCAGCACUGGGAUGGAGUCUUGCAUGGUCAGGCACUUCACACCUAAUCCUAAAAUUAACUCAAGCCAGUUUUGAUGCCCCAGAACUAGUAGCUGAUGGCUGCUUGGACUGCAUCAUGAACUUUCAGAUUAUUUUGUUUGGGCAAGACGUUUUAUGAACAGCGCCUUUAGCACUUACUAGCUUUUUUGGUAUCUGUAUCUACCACUAGUAGUAUCUACUACAUUAGUGACAUUUUCUAAACUGCUAUUCAGCUGUCAGCAUCCUACUGUGCAGCACAGUUUCUCCUGGUUGACAUUGCCCAGUUGCUGGCAAGUUGCUCAAAGCCCUUUCCUGAAAUGAUAUUCCAGAAGCUCUGAAGCAAGACCCUUCAUAAUCAGUAGAAACUACCUUUUCAUACAAAGCUUGAGGCAGCACAGUAUUAAGUGGUAUGAGGGAGAGCCUGGGAGCUGGACUGCCAUAGGCCUGCUGUGCAGUAUACCUAGUGGCUGCAUGAACAACUGUGUGUGAUAAAACCAUUAGCCAGAGGAAAAAGUAGGAAGGUCCAUAAGACAGCAGCCAAGUGAAUGUUUCUCACUUCAUUUGACAUUCAUUUGCUUAUUCUGCCAGCAAGACCAGAUCCCACAGGCAUGCUCAGAUCACUCCUAACAUCUGUGGCCUGCCAGCUCACAUGGCAAAAGGUCUGGACACAAGCCAACAGUGGGUGGAAGAACAGGGUGUUGGUACAAAAGGCAGUGGGAGGAAUAAAGAAAUAGGGCAAAAGUUAGAGAUAGGGAAUGCAAGUACAGGAUGGGAAAACAAACUGGCAGUAGCUAACCAGUCUUUAAUGCAGAUGUAAGGAAGGUAUUUAUAGGUUAAGACUUCAAGAACAGGCAGGUGCCAUUUCAGAUCCAUCAGCCAGUUAUACUGAGUCGGUUGCUUAGGUGUCUGACAACUUUACUCUUUGCCCCACGCUUUACCUUUCACUCUUCAUGAGUGUGCUGUGCUAGCUGGCUGCUUGCUGAAACACUUCUUCUGUAGGUUCUAAUCUUCCCUUUCACUGUAGGGAAGUCUGAUUGCUUAGCUCAGGGCUAUAAAAUCUAUUUGUCAUAGGAUUUUAAGUGUUUCAGAGUAACAUGGAACAGUACUUAGCCCAGCUUCUCAAAGGUAUUUCAGUGCUAACUACCAUUGUUUCCAACUGAACAGUUAAAUAACAUUCAGGAUCUGUAGGUUGUGGGCAGCAGUUAUAAAGAUUUUCACAGUACCUGCCAUCUAAUACCUACCACCCAUAUAAAUGAUAUCAUUAAAGAAUGGCAAUUAUCUCCAAUCUUUUUGAAGUCCUAUGCUAUUUGGUCUUUUCCUUUCGUUUAAGGCAUCAGCUUCUACAAUCAUGAAAAGUGUAACUGUCAUUAAAAAACAAACAAAUAUUAAAACCCAUUUCCAGCUGAUAGGCUGGGAAGAACUGUGGAAAUCUUAAAAAACAAAAGGCAACUAAAAAUAAUCCUAAAUUUAUUUUUUAAGAAGAUCCACCAAUUUUGGAUGCAAUCUCAAGAUCUAAGGAUGUGGGGAGAAGAGACUUACUCCUGAGUUUCUGAUUGGUAGUACACAUAACAGGUUUUCCUAGCCCUUUCUGAGAUGGAUGCUACCUGCUCCUUAUCAUCAUCAUUUCCACACACUCCUGCCUCCUCUGUCUAGCCAUCAGCUUUAGGUCUUCAGGUCCCCUUCCUUAAAUCUCUUUUUUUAAUACCUUUUUUCUCAGGUAGACAUGUAGCCAUGCUUCAUAUAAGUGUGGCAUUCCCUAAAAGCCAUAAAAUUUAUAAAGCAAUUCCUAGGAGCUUGAGAAUGCUGAAAAUUGCUGCUUCAAGUCACUUAAGAGAUCCCUGUUCUAAAUUAUGCUUGGUAUCAAGGUUCUGAUUUCACUGGCUGAAUAGCUGCCACCAGAAUAGGAGUUUUACUGUUAGCCCCAUAUUUCUUCCACUUCGCUUACAUUAUCUUCUAAGUCCCUUAUGUCAUCUACUGAUCACACACCCUCAGAGUAGGUUCAGCUGGCUAAUAUAUUGGCAAGUUAAUCCUCCAAAGGAAAAUAAGAUCCACAUUUUUUUUCCAGCAGAACCAUACAAAACCACAUGAUCACUAGAUCUGUCAGUAGAAACCAGUAGUUCAUGAGACCUGGGUUUGGAGAAAGGGUUCCACCCCUUCUGGCAGUGGUUUUCCCUUAGAUCAGCAUGAGGCACAACCAUACCUCCCAACCAGUGAGGAACAUACCAGGCACUCAGUCAGCCCAUGUUCUGCGGCUGCCAGUAGUCACAGAAGUGGAACAUAAAUCACCCUUUGCCCUUGACUGCUUCCCUCAUUGCAGCCACACCUACUAGCUACAGCAGACUUUGGCCCAGGGAAUCUACAUUUCUUCCUAGAGAAAAGUUUCUAAUUCUCAGAGUUAGAAGUUCUAGAAGAGCCUUCUCACAUGGAGGCAAAAAGAACAGGUCUAACAAUUUUUAAUACAGAACUUAAACAAAUUUCUGAAGGGCAGUAUAUGAUGUGGCUGCUUAUGAUAGCAAUGGAUGUUGUUGACUCAAAGGAGUCCUUUCUAAUCUGCAGUUGUUUUUAGUAGUGAUUCUUGUUUUCCUUCCCUGUGCAUUUUACCUAAAUAAUUUCCCAUCACAAGGGUGGCAAAGUCUAAGCCUGAUGCGUGGCCUGCAGUGACAUCAAAAGCAGCAGUCCUGGCCCUUCCCUUCCCCCCUCUGCUCAACUCUGCUUCUGUGUCACUUCUUUGUGCUUGUGCGUGUGUCCAUUGCCUCGCAAUGACUGGGCAGAAGGGAUCAGGCAAAUUGCACAGCUCAGGAGGGAAAGAAGCAUGAAGCCUGGAUAGGUGAGCUUUGGGACUUGCUUUGGGACUUUCAGCAGCAGCAAGCUUUUAGAUCAGCUCAGCUGUCUUGGGAAACUUCAUCUUGAGAUGGCACAAAUUAACGAAAGCUAUUGGUAUUUCACCUAAGUAAAGGCUGCAAGUGAAAUUCUGGCACCACUGGAUGGAACAGCAGAGUUCCCACUGAAUUCAAAGAGAGAUUACUACUCCAAUAACAGAAGCAGCAAAAUAGGAGGUGUGUCAACACCUCAGUUUCUCCAGUUUACUGUUAGGAAAUCAACUGCAUCAAAGAGCUUAAGCUAAUGUGCUGAAGAUGAACUGAAGUGAGUAGAAAAAGGUAACUUGGAUUCCUUUACAACAGCUUCAGAAACAAGAGACUACAGAGAGGCUAUACCCAAGAUAGCUGAUAAACUGCAAGAGGCAUGGACUUGAUUAAACAGCUCUGCUCCAGACAGAUGCAUUAUGGGUCAGAGGAAGAUGGAAUUAUGGAAGAUACGGAAAGUUGAGCAAUUAUUGACUGGCAGAUAGACGAGGCCUUAACAGCACUUGGAAAACUAUUUUAGUUCUGAAGUACAUAUAAUACAGACCAGUUCUUCAACUCUACUUUUUUUCCAGUUCACACACUGAAUUCACCUACAUUAGUAAGUUUUGUCAUUAUGGGAAUUUGUCAUCUGUGGGCAUAAGUUCCAAUCCAGCAUGCUUAGAAAACAUAAAAUACUGAUCCCAAUUUUAUCAGAAUUCAUAUAUAAUUUCUAUGUCCAAAACCCUCCCCUGAGUACAGAGAAAAUAGGAAAGGAAGAGAAUAGAUAGGGGGAAAAAAAAGCAUCAAACUAGAGUAGAUGCAUAAGGAGACAAAAUAAAAAGCUUAUUAAAAAUCACAGUCUUACAUAUGGAACCUAUCAAACAAUAGUCAAUAUUGGAAAAUAUUAAUUUAUUGAGAUAGACAGAAAAGAAUCAAUUUCCCAAACAAAAAAUAUCACUUACAUGAAAGACUGAAAUAUUCUGAUACAGUAAAUUUCAAUCUCAAGAUGAUUUGAACUGGUAUUUUAAAGUAUUUAAAUUAAUAUGAAUUAGUUUAAAUGAAGCCAAAACUACCCAAAUAAAAAUUCAAUUGAAGGUGGAAAGUAUUUGUUCUAAUACCUAAAUCAAUCUUGUUCUUAGGUGAAAAAUCUGAAGUUUUACUGGUCAUAAAAGUUCAUGCAGGAACACGCUUGCUAUUAAGCCAUCGGACUUUAACCUGGAAAAGAUAUUCUGAGUGAUGCAAAGGCAAUAAGAUCAAUGGGAAGAAAGCCAAAAUUAAGGCACAAUAUCAAUUGGAUUGAGGAAAACAGAAUCCAAGUAGACUCCAUCAGUAUAAAAUAAAUUAAAAAAAUGAUUCAAGAGAGACGGGAUCAUGCUCCAGAAGCAAUCUUUGUAACAAUAUACUAAAUAAUCUCAUAAUGCAAGUUUUUCAUAAAAAUCUAAUGACAUUUCCUCA